UCGUCAGUGAGGUAUAUCCUUACCUGUUACUUCAGAAAUGAAGUAUCAGAACGUGAUGAAUGGAGCUAAAUGAGUUGGUGAUUAACCGCUCUUGGUUUUAGGAGAACAGCAACACUUCUAAAACCCCAUUCUGAU
Small nucleolar RNA from Paramormyrops kingsleyae, 135 nucleotides. Its record names the gene U8. It matches the Rfam family "U8 small nucleolar RNA". From Rfam's summary of the family: U8 is a member of the C/D class of snoRNA which contain the C (UGAUGA) and D (CUGA) box motifs. U8 is the RNA component of a small complex (the U8 snoRNP) which is required for accumulation of mature large subunit ribosomal RNAs, 5.8S and 28S rRNAs. The record is from Ensembl. Lineage: Eukaryota; Metazoa; Chordata; Actinopteri; Osteoglossiformes; Mormyridae.